RNAcentral lists this transfer RNA (71 nucleotides) under Lestes temporalis. Its description in RNAcentral is "tRNA-Val". Lineage: Eukaryota; Metazoa; Arthropoda; Insecta; Odonata; Lestidae. The record is from RNAcentral.
GUUCAAAUUUACAAGAAGGCUUGCGACCUCGAUGUUGGAUUAAGAUUAUAAUUAGGUGCAGCCGCUUAAUU